This 828-nucleotide long non-coding RNA is filed under the name Anser brachyrhynchus (Pink-footed goose). Its description in RNAcentral is "lncRNA (ENSABRG00000001046.1)". Lineage: Eukaryota; Metazoa; Chordata; Aves; Anseriformes; Anatidae. The record is from RNAcentral.
CCUCCCCGAGCCCCGCUGCCUCCCGCCUCCCUCCUCCCCGGCGCCCGCCUCCCCGCGGCGUGCCCGCCUCCCUCCCUCCGUCCCCCGGCCGGCAGCCGGGCAGCGGGCGGGCGCUGCCGCCGGCCCCACAGCACCGCGGCCGGGCUGCGCGGAGCGGAGCGGAGCGGAGCGGGGCUGGCUGGGCGGGGAGGGAGGGAGGGAGGGGAGUGGAUGUGUGUGUGUGUGGAAAGAGCGGGGGGGGGCGAAGGGGGGGAAAUCAAAUAAAUAAAUAAGCUCCCCACCAAUAAGAGAGGCAGCGGCUGGCGAGCAGGCUGGGCUCGGCUGGGAGAGGUCCUCGCUCGGCUGCGUGUUUGUUUGUGUUGUGACCAGAGCCGCGAAGUUCAGAGCCCAAACGUGUUGCUCCGCUCCGCUCCACCUGCUCGGCCGGCGGGGGGGUGCCGCUUCGGCCGCCCCGCCGCCCUCCGGGGCCGAAGGACGGGAGAGGAGCGCGGGGCCGCGCCCGCCGCCCGCCCGCCUUCCCCUCAGCCACCGCCGGGGAGGCGACGGACAGGGGGAAGAGAAAGCAUGCGAGGCAGCUGUAUGCCACAACGUGCUGUUGUGACCACCUGGCAGUGCAGAACCAGAGGGCAGAUCUGCUGCCGUCCUGCUGCGUGUGAUCUUGACCCAUGUGGAAUAUUUGGAACAGGAGUGUUUUGAACAUAAAAAGGGAAGUGUUCGAGUUGGUCUUCCCUUCUGAUACACAAAUAUGCAUUGACAGUUCUUCUGUUUAUUCAGGAACCAUUUUGCCUUUUAAAUAAAGUUAAAAAUCCCAUUGAUUUAAUCUCUUUA